Molecule: small nuclear RNA, 107 nt
Filed under: Ictidomys tridecemlineatus (thirteen-lined ground squirrel)
Lineage: Eukaryota; Metazoa; Chordata; Mammalia; Rodentia; Sciuridae
Source: RNAcentral
AUUCUUCCUUUGGUAGCAUAUGCACUAAAACUGGAACAAUACAGAGAAGAUUAUUGUGGCCUCUGUGCAGUUAUGGCACACACAUUCAUGAAGCAUUACAUAUUUUC